Molecule: ribosomal RNA, 300 nt
Filed under: uncultured Pseudanabaenaceae cyanobacterium
Lineage: Bacteria; Bacillati; Cyanobacteriota; Cyanophyceae; Pseudanabaenales; Pseudanabaenaceae
Description: bacterial SSU rRNA
Rfam family: Bacterial small subunit ribosomal RNA
Source: RNAcentral
CGCGUGAGGAUCUGCCUACAGGAUGGGGACAACAGAGGGAAACUUCUGCUAACACCCAAUGUGCCGAGAGGUGAAAUAUUGUAUAGCCUGUAGAUGAGCUCGCGUCUGAUUAGCUAGUUGGAAGUGUAAAGGACUCCCAAGGCGACGAUCAGUAGCUGUUCUGAGAGGAAGAUCAGCCACACUGGGACUGAGACACGGCCCAGACUCCUACGGGAGGCAGCAGUGGGGAAUUUUGCGCAAUGGGCGGAAGCCUGACGCAGCGACGCCGCGUGGGGGAUGACGGCCUCGGUUGUAAACUCU